AGAAUCAACGCUGGCGGCGUGCCUCAGACAUGCAAGUCGAACGCGAAAGUCCCCUUCGGGGGUGAGUAGAGUGGCGCACGGGUGAGUAACACGUAGGUAAUCUACCUUUGGAUGGGGAAUAACAACCGGAAACGGUUGCUAAUACCGCAUAAUGCAGCGGCACCUAAUGGUGACAGUUGUUAAAGCGGGGGAUCGAAAGACCUCGCGUCUAAAGAGGAGCCUGCGGCGGAUUAGCUAGUUGGUAGGGUAACGGCCUACCAAGGCUACGAUCCGUAGCC
This 278-nucleotide ribosomal RNA is filed under the name uncultured bacterium. RNAcentral's name for it is "partial small subunit ribosomal RNA". It matches the Rfam family "Bacterial small subunit ribosomal RNA", at positions 26 to 288 of the family's 1533-position model. The record is from RNAcentral.